UUACGAUACAUUUUUUGGCUUCCUCUAGUUUCUUUUUGAGCAAUUAUAUUCAAAACCUCAUCACUAAUUCUCAAGCUCAAGGUACAGUGGAAAAGAAGCCCCAGCCUCUUUUUAUUGUUCAUUGAAGUAGUAGAAGCUACCUUGCUCUGCUAAGGAAGUCCAUAGGUCAUUUCUUUACUAUUUCAUUGGCGCUGUUUGCAGAAAAACACUGAAUAUAAAAGCUAUGUCAAAAAGGCAAACUAAGAGUGAUAUGCCCUUGGUCAAAAAUAAUAUAGAUUCGAAAUCUAUCAGGGGGUCAAGACCUACUUCUGCUACCGCUGCUUCAGUAUGUAACUCAAAGCCAAUUUAGCAUUUUGGAGACUCUGUUGGAAGGCAUGAUGACUCUUUUACAAAAUCAAGCUCAGAUGACAGUCGCCCCAUCCUUUAAUCUACCGGAAGUUCAACCACAAAAUGUGCACGGACAACCUCCAUGAAUGAUACAAAUGGUUGUCCCCCGAUCAUUCAGCCAAUGGUAACAAACAUGGGGGCUCAUGAAGUCAAAGACUUACAGGCUCCACGUCCUAUGAUAGACUUAUAACAUAAAAUGGAGGAAAUGAUGUCCCAAAGAUAGAUAUUAAAGUUCAUGAAAAAUGAUAGGCAAAGGCAAAUGGUCUUGGAAGAAGAUCCCUUCGCACCAGAGAUCAUGGCAGCCUCUCCAUCAAAAGACUUCAAGCAACAAAUGAUAGAGGCAUAUGGUGAGUCAUAGAUCCUCUUGACCACUACUGACUUUUUGUUGAUUUAAUGAGAUUAUAUGUAGCUCCAGACGUAAUGAUGUGUCGAUCUUUUCUACCAACACUAAGAUGAGGG
Molecule: long non-coding RNA, 846 nt
Filed under: Olea europaea (common olive)
Lineage: Eukaryota; Viridiplantae; Streptophyta; Magnoliopsida; Lamiales; Oleaceae
Description: long non-coding RNA (OEUR_LNC009276)
Source: RNAcentral